RNAcentral lists this ribosomal RNA (492 nucleotides) under uncultured bacterium. Its description in RNAcentral is "partial 16S ribosomal RNA". It matches the Rfam family "Bacterial small subunit ribosomal RNA", at positions 29 to 507 of the family's 1533-position model. The record is from RNAcentral.
AGUGAACGCUGGCGGUAGGCCUAACACAUGCAAGUCGAACGGCAGCACAGUAAGAGCUUGCUCUUACGGGUGGCGAGUGGCGGACGGGUGAGGAAUACAUCGGAAUCUACUUUUUCGUGGGGGAUAACGUAGGGAAACUUACGCCCAUACCGCAUACGACCUACGGGUGAAAGCAGGGGAUCUUCGGACCUUGCGCGAUUGAAUGAGCCGAUGUCGGAUUAGCUAGUUGGCGGGGUAAAUGCCCACCAAGGCGACGAUCCGUAGCUGGUCUGAGAGGAUGAUCAGCCACACUGGAACUGAGACACGGUCCAGACUCCUAAGGGAGGCAGCAGUGGGGAAUAUUGGACAAUGGGCGCAAGCCUGAUCCAGCCAUACCGCGUGGGUGAAGAAGGCCUUCGGGUUGUAAAGACCUUUUGUUGGGAAAGAAAAGCAGCAGGUUAAUACCACGCUGUUCUGACGGUACCCAAAGAAUAAGCACCGGCUAACUUCGUG